CCGCGUCCCACGGAAGGAACCGAUAGAAGAACAGCACCCACGGCGCGGUCACGAGCAGCGACCCGCGCUCGAUCGCGCGUCGCACGGACGCCGCCGCGUCGAUCCCCGGCGGCGGCGACAUCGCGCGCGCGGCGACGCCGACGCCUGCGGGCCGUUCCAUACGAGCGAAUGUCGGGGUGGAGUUGAAAGGCGUCAGGUGGAGUUGAAAGGCGCCGAGGGCGGGGAUUGAAAGCGAGGGGUGCGCGGAGAGAUGCGCCGGGCAAAGUCCUUAAGGAUCGGCGUUUACCACGCGAACGCGGUCGUAUGGGGACCAGUGCGAGAUAGAACGCGCCUGAGGCGCCGGCGCCGAAGGACAGCACGCCCAACACGCCGCCGACCGCGCGCGCGGCGAGCAUGCGCUCCGUGACGCCGCCGCCGCUGUCACCGUCGAUCGACCGCGACCGCGACCGCGCGCCGCCGAAGAGCGACGCGACGCCGCG
This 479-nucleotide long non-coding RNA is filed under the name Micromonas pusilla. RNAcentral's name for it is "long non-coding RNA (MPUS_LNC000187)". The record is from RNAcentral. Lineage: Eukaryota; Viridiplantae; Chlorophyta; Mamiellophyceae; Mamiellales; Mamiellaceae.